UACGUAGGGUGCGAGCGUUAAUCGGAAUUACUGGGCGUAAAGUGUGCGCAGGCGGCCGAGCAGGUCGAGUGUGAAAGCCCCGAGCUUAACUUGGGAACUGCGCUCGAAACUACUUGGCUAGAGUGUGGCAGAGGGAGGUGGAAUUCCACGUGUAGCGGUGAAAUGCGUAGAGAUGUGGAGGAACACCGAUGGCGAAGGCAGCCUCCUGGGCCAACACUGACGCUCAUGCACGAAAGCGUGGGGAGCAAACAGG
RNAcentral lists this ribosomal RNA (253 nucleotides) under uncultured bacterium. RNAcentral describes it as "partial 16S ribosomal RNA". It matches the Rfam family "Bacterial small subunit ribosomal RNA", at positions 524 to 776 of the family's 1533-position model. The record is from RNAcentral.